AGCUCCAAUAGCGUAUACUAAAGUUGUUGCAGUUAAAAAGCUCGUAGUUGGAUUUCUGGUCGCAAGUUUCGGUCCGCCCUUCGCGGGGUGUGUUUACCAGAGACUAGCAGCCAUCCUCGAGGAGAGCAUAUCUGGCAUUUAGUUGUCGGGUAUGGGAUCCUCGUCAUUUACUGUGAGCAAAAUAGAGUGUUCAAAGCAGGCUUAGGCCGUUGAAUACAUUAGCAUGGAAUAAUAAGAUAAGACCUUGGUCUAUUUUGUUGGUUUGCACUCCAAGGUAAUGAUUAAUAGGGAUAGUUGGGGGUAUUCGUAUUCAAUUGUCAGAGGUGAAAUUCUUGGAUUUAUGGAAGACGAACUACUGCGAAAGCAUUUACCAAGGAUGUUUUCA
RNAcentral lists this ribosomal RNA (385 nucleotides) under uncultured eukaryote. Its description in RNAcentral is "SSU rRNA". It matches the Rfam family "Eukaryotic small subunit ribosomal RNA", at positions 587 to 972 of the family's 1831-position model. The record is from RNAcentral.